CGGGCGUCCUCACAAAUUACCUGCAUUCAGAGAUUCAUACCGGCACAGGUCGGUAUGCGAAGUCCCUUUUGGGGCCUUAGCUCAGCUGGGAGAGCACCUGCUUUGCAAGCAGGGGGUCGUCGGUUCGAUCCCGACAGGCUCCACCAUAUUGAGUGAAAAGACUUCGGGUCUGUAGCUCAGGUGGUUAGAGCGCACCCCUGAUAAGGGUGAGGUCGGUAGUUCGAGUCUACCCAGACCCACCACUCUGAAUGUAGUGCACACUUAAGAAUUUAUAUGGAUCAGCGUUGAGGCUGAGACAUGUUCUUUUAUAACUUGUGACGUAGCGAGCGUUUGAGAUAUCUAUCUAAACGUGUCGUUGAGGCUAAGGCGGGGACUUCGAGUCCCUAAAUAAUUGAGUCGUAUGUUCGCGUUGGUGGCUUUGUACCCCACACAACACGACAUAUAGCUCCGAGGCAACUUGGGGUUAUAUGGUCAAGCGAAUAAGCGCACACGGUGGAUGCCUAGGCGGUCAGAGGCGAUGAAGGACGUGGUAGCCUGCGAAAAGUGUCGGGGAGCUG
This 557-nucleotide unclassified non-coding RNA is filed under the name Xanthomonas campestris pv. armoraciae. RNAcentral describes it as "partial contains 16S-23S ribosomal RNA intergenic spacer and 23S ribosomal RNA". The stretch from base 166 to 239 matches the Rfam family "tRNA". The record is from RNAcentral. Lineage: Bacteria; Pseudomonadati; Pseudomonadota; Gammaproteobacteria; Lysobacterales; Lysobacteraceae.